UACGGGGGGGGCAAGCGUUGUUCGGAAUCACUGGGCGUAAAGGGCGUGUAGGCGGUCCGCUAAGUCUGAUGUGAAAGCCCGGGGCUCACCCCCGGAAGGGCAUUGGAAACUGGCGGACUCGAGUCCCGGAGAGGAAGGUGGAAUUCCUGGUGUAGCGGUGAAAUGCGUAGAUAUCAGGAGGAAUACCGGUGGCGAAGGCGGCCUUCUGGACGGUGACUGACGCUGAGACGCGAAAGCGUGGGGAGCAAACAGG
This 253-nucleotide ribosomal RNA is filed under the name uncultured bacterium. Its description in RNAcentral is "partial 16S ribosomal RNA". It matches the Rfam family "Bacterial small subunit ribosomal RNA", at positions 524 to 776 of the family's 1533-position model. The record is from RNAcentral.